UGAAGACGACGACGACGAGGAUGAUGAAAAAGAUGAAGAUGAUGCCGAUAGACAUCCUGAUGGAGAAGGAACUGGUAGGUCAAAGCAAAGCAGAAGCGAAAAGAAGAGUCGCAAAGCUAUGUUGAAGCUCGGGAUGAAACCAAUUCCAGGUGUUAGCCGAGUCACCGUCAAGAAGAGCAAAAAUAUCUUAUUUAUCAUUUCAAAGCCAGAUGUCUUCAAGAGCCCCGCAUCAU
Molecule: long non-coding RNA, 233 nt
Organism: Hibiscus syriacus
Lineage: Eukaryota; Viridiplantae; Streptophyta; Magnoliopsida; Malvales; Malvaceae
Exons: 3
Source: RefSeq, a predicted model, not a curated record